AGUGAACGCUGGCGGUAGGCCUAACACAUGCAAGUCGAACGGCAGCACAGUAAGAGCUUGCUCUUACGGGUGGCGAGUGGCGGACGGGUGAGGAAUAGAUCGGAAUCUACUUUUUCGUGGGGGAUAACGUAGGGAAACUUACGCUAAUACAGCAUACGACCUACGGGUGAAAGCAGGGGAUAUUCGGACCUUGCGCGAUUGAAUGAGCCGAGGUCGGAUUAGCUAGUUGGCGGGGUAAAGGCCCACUAAGGCGACGAUCCGUAGCUGGUCUGAGAGGAUGAUCAGCCACACUGGAACUGAGACACGGUCCAGACUCCUACGGGAGGCAGCAGUGGGGAAUAUUGGACAAUGGGCGCAAGCCUGAUCCAGCCAUACCGCGUGUGUGAAGAAGGCCUUCGGGUUGUAAAGCCCUUUUGUUGGGAAAGAAAAGCAGCAUGUUAAUACCCCGCUGUUCUGACGGUACCCAAAGAAUAAGCACCGGCUAACUUCGUG
This 492-nucleotide ribosomal RNA is filed under the name uncultured bacterium. RNAcentral's name for it is "partial 16S ribosomal RNA". It matches the Rfam family "Bacterial small subunit ribosomal RNA", at positions 29 to 507 of the family's 1533-position model. The record is from RNAcentral.